This 434-nucleotide ribosomal RNA is filed under the name uncultured bacterium. Its description in RNAcentral is "partial 16S ribosomal RNA". It matches the Rfam family "Bacterial small subunit ribosomal RNA", at positions 29 to 508 of the family's 1533-position model. The record is from RNAcentral.
AACGAACGCUGGCGGCAUGCCUAACACAUGCAAGUCGAACGAGACCUUCGGGUCUAGUGGCGCACGGGUGCGUAACGCGUGGGAACCUGCCCUUAGGUUCGGAAUAACUCCCCUAAAGGGGUGCUAAUACCGGAUAAUGUCUUCGGACCAAAGAUUUAUCGCCUUUGGAUGGGCCCGCGUUGGAUUAGCUAGUUGGUAGGGUAAAAGCCUACCAAGGCGACGAUCCAUAGCUGGUCUGAGAGGAUGAUCAGCCACACUGGGACUGAGACACGGCCCAGACUCCUACGGGAGGGAGCAGUGGGGAAUAUUGGACAAUGGGCGAAAGCCUGAUCCAGCAAUGCCGCGUGAGUGAUGAAGGCCUUAGGGUUGUAAAGCUCGUUUACCCGGGAUGAUAAUGACAGUACCGGGAGAAUAAGCUCCGGCUAACCCCGUGC